AUGCAGUAGGGUUUGUUAUCUAAUUGGCUAGUCAAACAUGAGGUGGUUCAUAGAUCUUUGGGCUUUGAUCACCGAGGAAUAGAGACUUUACAAAUAAAAGUAGGGGAUUGGGAUUCCAUUACUGUCAUUUUAUAUGUAUAUGAUAAUCCAGAAGAAGUCUUCAUAAAAGUCUUUGCCCAAAAGGAUAAUCCUAGAAUUUCGUCUGUCUUCUGGAUUUGGAGAAGUGUCGAUUUUCAAGAACGCGAAUCUUAUGAUAUGGUGGGAAUCUCUUACGAUAAUCAUCCGCUCCUUAAACAUAUCCCAAUGCCUGAAAGUUGGAUAUGCUGGCCCUUACGUAAGGAUUAUAUAACCCCCAAUUUUUAUGAAAUACAAGAUGCUCAUUGA
RNAcentral lists this ribosomal RNA (384 nucleotides) under Triticum aestivum (bread wheat). Its description in RNAcentral is "partial small subunit ribosomal RNA". Lineage: Eukaryota; Viridiplantae; Streptophyta; Magnoliopsida; Poales; Poaceae. The record is from RNAcentral.